CCGACAACUAAACGAAUGAAUAAUAAAUAUACCAAAAUCGUACCCAAACCUACCCGUUUCCAUCAUUAUACUUAUAUCUCCAGUCAGUUACUAAUACUUACAUAUCGAUUCACAAUAUAGAAAUUUAUUUGGAAGCCGCAUUUAAUCACUGGCUUCCCUUGCGCUCUGAUGGUUAGGACAGUUUGUUCUUAAACCAACAGAUCUGGAGUUCGAAGCUGGUAUGAGGAAGGGAAUUAGUACUGAAGACAUGAAAAUAGAGGUAUUUUGAAAUACCUCCUUUUUUGGCCCAACAUUAUUAGCAAGGAAAUUAGUACUGAAGACAUAUAUCAGAACACUCCUCGAUUAGAUAUCCUUCUGCAGAAUCGAAUCGAAGAAAGCUCCGAACCACCUCGAUUAGGUAUCCUUCUGCAGAAUCGAAUAAAGCUCCUAACCAUAGGAGUGAUUCCCUGGCACUGGCGAGGCAGUUUUGUUUGAGAUUCAACCUUCAGUUGCUGUUCCAUUGUUUCCUUGCUGUUUUACAAUGUAUCAGCAAAGUUGGGGUCCUGCUGGUACAAUAGUUCACAACUUGAAAUAGGUUAAACAUGUUACUCGAUCGAUUGAUUUCGAUAUUAUAUAUGUCGCGCGUACAUCUUACAAGACUAGAGUAAUUGAAACAUUGAAAGUCCAGUACUCUGUGUGUAUGUGCAUGAAAUCUCAUGAAAUCAGUACGCAACGGAACCCAUGAUGAGAAUGUAUAUGAAGCUAGCAGUGAGAUGAAUAUCUGGCUUCUUUUUUCUUCUUUGCAGCUGUUUGAUUGAAUACUGAUGCU
This 808-nucleotide long non-coding RNA is filed under the name Linum usitatissimum (flax). RNAcentral's name for it is "long non-coding RNA (LUSI_LNC002661)". Lineage: Eukaryota; Viridiplantae; Streptophyta; Magnoliopsida; Malpighiales; Linaceae. The record is from RNAcentral.